This 1014-nucleotide ribosomal RNA is filed under the name Salmonella enterica. Its description in RNAcentral is "partial 23S ribosomal RNA". It matches the Rfam family "Bacterial large subunit ribosomal RNA", at positions 711 to 1722 of the family's 2925-position model. The record is from RNAcentral. Lineage: Bacteria; Pseudomonadati; Pseudomonadota; Gammaproteobacteria; Enterobacterales; Enterobacteriaceae.
AGACCCGAAACCCGGUGAUCUAGCCAUGGGCAGGUUGAAGGUUGGGUAACACUAACUGGAGGACCGAACCGACUAAUGUUGAAAAAUUAGCGGAUGACCUGUGGCUGGGGGUGAAAGGCCAAUCAAACCGGGAGAUAGCUGGUUCUCCCCGAAAGCUAUUUAGGUAGCGCCUCGUGAAUUCAUCUCCGGGGGUAGAGCACUGUUUCGGCUAGGGGGCCAUCCCGGCUUACCAACCCGAUGCAAACUGCGAAUACCGGAGAAUGUUAUCACGGGAGACACACGGCGGGUGCUAACGUCCGUCGUGAAGAGGGAAACAACCCAGACCGCCAGCUAAGGUCCCAAAGUCAUGGUUAAGUGGGAAACGAUGUGGGAAGGCCCAGACAGCCAGGAUGUUGGCUUAGAAGCAGCCAUCAUUUAAAGAAAGCGUAAUAGCUCACUGGUCGAGUCGGCCUGCGCGGAAGAUGUAACGGGGCUAAACCAUGCACCGAAGCUGCGGCAGCGACGCUUAUGCGUUGUUGGGUAGGGGAGCGUUCUGUAAGCCUGUGAAGGUGGCCUGUGAGGGUUGCUGGAGGUAUCAGAAGUGCGAAUGCUGACAUAAGUAACGAUAAAGCGGGUGAAAAGCCCGCUCGCCGGAAGACCAAGGGUUCCUGUCCAACGUUAAUCGGGGCAGGGUGAGUCGACCCCUAAGGCGAGGCCGAAAGGCGUAGUCGAUGGGAAACAGGUUAAUAUUCCUGUACUUGGUGUUACUGCGAAGGGGGGACGGAGAAGGCUAUGUUGGCCGGGCGACGGUUGUCCCGGUUUAAGCGUGUAGGUGUGUGUUCCAGGUAAAUCCGGUUCACUUUAACACUGAGGCGUGAUGACGAGGCACUACGGUGCUGAAGCAACAAAUGCCCUGCUUCCAGGAAAAGCCUCUAAGCAUCAGGUAACAUCAAAUCGUACCCCAAACCGACACAGGUGGUCAGGUAGAGAAUACCAAGGCGCUUGAGAGAACUCGGGUGAAGGAACUAGGCAAAA